ACCUGGUUGGCUCAAUUGGUAGAGCAUGUGACUUUUGAUCUUAGAGUUGUGAGUUAGAGUCCCAUGUUGGGCG
This 73-nucleotide transfer RNA is filed under the name Felis catus (domestic cat). It matches the Rfam family "tRNA". Rfam says of the family: Transfer RNA (tRNA) molecules are approximately 80 nucleotides in length. RNAcentral also lists the same sequence under 2 other names. The record is from Rfam by way of RNAcentral. Lineage: Eukaryota; Metazoa; Chordata; Mammalia; Carnivora; Felidae.